This 778-nucleotide ribosomal RNA is filed under the name uncultured Gammaproteobacteria bacterium. Its description in RNAcentral is "bacterial SSU rRNA". It matches the Rfam family "Bacterial small subunit ribosomal RNA", at positions 31 to 808 of the family's 1533-position model. The record is from RNAcentral. Lineage: Bacteria; Pseudomonadati; Pseudomonadota; Gammaproteobacteria.
GAACGCUGGCGGCAUGCCUAACACAUGCAAGUCGAACGGAGGUAGGGGCAACUCUACUUCAGUGGCGGACGGGUGAGGAAUGCAUCGGAAUCUACCCUAGGGUGGGGGAUAACACAGGGAAACUUGUGCUAAUACCGCAUGAUGUCGAGAGACCAAAGCGGGGGACCGAAAGGCCUCGCGCGCUAGGAUGAGCCGAUGCCCGAUUAGCUAGUUGGUAGGGUAAUGGCCUACCAAGGCGACGAUCGGUAGCUGGUCUGAGAGGAUGAUCAGCCACACUGGGACUGAGACACGGCCCAGACACCUACGGGAGGCAGCAGUGGGGAAUAUUGGGCAAUGGGCGAAAGCCUGAUCCAGCAAUGCCGCGUGUGUGAAGAAGGCCUGCGGGUUGUAAAGCACUUUUGUUCGGGAAGAAAACGCGCUGACUAAUACUUAGCGUGGAUGACGGUACCGAAAGAAUAAGCACCGGCUAACUUCGUGCCAGCAGCCGCGGUAAUACGAAGGGUGCAAGCGUUAAUCGGAAUUACUGGGCGUAAAGGGUGCGUAGGCGGCUCUUUAAGUCGGAUGUGAAAUCCCCGGGCUCAACCUGGGAAUGGCAUCCGAUACUGGGGAGCUGGAGUUUGGGAGAGGGUGGUGGAAUUCCCGGUGUAGCGGUGAAAUGCGUAGAGAUCGGGAGGAACAUCAGUGGCGAAGGCGGCCACCUGGCCUAAAACUGACGCUGAAGCACGAAAGCGUGGGGAGCAAACAGGAUUAGAUACCCUGGUAGUCCACGCCCUAAACG